CGGCGGUUAGCUCAGCGGUAGAGCACUACCUUGACAUGGUAGGGGUCACAGGUUCGAACCCUGUACCGCCCACCA
RNAcentral lists this transfer RNA (75 nucleotides) under Lysobacterales bacterium RIFOXYD1_FULL_69_11. RNAcentral's name for it is "Xanthomonadales bacterium RIFOXYD1_FULL_69_11 tRNA-Val". It matches the Rfam family "tRNA". From Rfam's summary of the family: Transfer RNA (tRNA) molecules are approximately 80 nucleotides in length. The record is from RNAcentral. Lineage: Bacteria; Pseudomonadati; Pseudomonadota; Gammaproteobacteria; Lysobacterales.